RNAcentral lists this ribosomal RNA (253 nucleotides) under uncultured bacterium. RNAcentral describes it as "partial 16S ribosomal RNA". It matches the Rfam family "Bacterial small subunit ribosomal RNA", at positions 524 to 776 of the family's 1533-position model. The record is from RNAcentral.
UACGAAGGGGGCUAGCGUUGUUCGGGAUUACUGGGCGUAAAGCGCGCGCAGGCGGUCCUUUAAGUCGGGGGUGAAAGCCCAGAGCUCAACUCUGGAACUGCCUUCGAAACUAGAGGACUUGGGUACGGGAGAGGUGAGUGGAAUUCCGAGUGUAGAGGUGAAAUUCGUAGAUAUUCGCAAGAACACCAGUGGCGAAGGCGGCUCACUGGCCCGAUACUGACGCUGAGGUGCGAAAGCGUGGGGAGCAAACAGG